This is a small nuclear RNA of Nymphaea colorata (pocket water lily), 103 nucleotides long. Lineage: Eukaryota; Viridiplantae; Streptophyta; Magnoliopsida; Nymphaeales; Nymphaeaceae. The record is from RefSeq and is a predicted model, not a curated record.
GAUCCUUUGGAGACAUCCAAUAAAAUUGGAACGACAUAGAGAAGAUUAACUUGUCCUUUGCACAAAAAUGGUAUAUGCAAAUCGAGAAAUGGUUCAAAUUUUU